CCUACGGGAGGCAGCAGUGGGGAAUAUUGCACAAUGGGGGGAACCCUGAAGCAGUGACGCCGCGUGAGUGAAGAAGUAUUUCGGUCUGUAAAGCUCUAUCAGCAGGGAAGAAAAUGACGGUACCUGACUAAGAAGCCCCGGCUAACUACGGGCCAGCAGCGUCGGUAAUACGUAGGGGGCAAGCGUUAUCCGGAUUUACUGGGUGUAAAGGGGGCGCAGGCGGCUGUGCAAGUCUGGAGUGAAAGGCGGGGGACCAACCCCCGGACUGCUCUGGAAACUGUAAAGCUGGAGUGCAGGAGAGGUAGGCGGAAUGACUAGUGUAGCGGUGAAAUGCGUAGAUAUUAGGCAGAACACCAGUGGCGAAGGCAGCUUACUGGACUGCAACUGACGUUGAGGCUCGAAAGCGUGGGGAGCAAACAGGAUUAGAUACCCUUGUAGUC
Molecule: ribosomal RNA, 440 nt
Filed under: uncultured bacterium
Lineage: Bacteria
Description: partial 16S ribosomal RNA
Rfam family: Bacterial small subunit ribosomal RNA
Source: RNAcentral